GCGAGAAAAUCUCGAACAAAACUCUCCUGUCGAUUUUCCUUCCUUGGCCGAGUGGUUUAAUCCACCACUGAGCGAACUCCCCACACCCAGAGCGCCACUAUCGUCCUUGGAUCCCACCACGCGGUGGUCGUCAAGUAUUUUGGGAAGAGGAGCGGCGCCCGGAUCCAUCUAGAUCCCGUCCUCUUACCUCUAAAAUCGGGGAAGCGCUUCUGCCAAGGACGAAACGCUGGCCUCGAGCAGCGAGAAUGCGGG
RNAcentral lists this long non-coding RNA (252 nucleotides) under Selaginella moellendorffii. Its description in RNAcentral is "long non-coding RNA (SMOE_LNC002462)". The record is from RNAcentral. Lineage: Eukaryota; Viridiplantae; Streptophyta; Lycopodiopsida; Selaginellales; Selaginellaceae.